AGAGUGGAAGCAGGUGUGAGAGGGUCCAGCAGAAGCAAACAUGGCUGCCAAAGUGUUUGAGUCCAUUGGCAAGUUUGGCCUGGCCUUAGCUGUUGCAGGAGGCGUGGUGAACUCUGCCUUAUAUAAUGUGGAUGCUGGGCACAGAGCUGUCAUCUUUGACUGGUUCCAUGGAGUACAGGACAUUGUGGUAGAGGAAGGGACUCACUUUCUCAUCCCAUGGGUACAGAAACCAAUUAUCUUUGACUGCCAUUCUUGACCACGCAAUGUGCCAGUCAUCACUGGUAGCAAAGAUUUACAGAAUGUCAACAUCACACUGCGCAUCCUCUUCCGACUCGUCGCUAGCCAGCUUCCUCGCAUCUUCAGCCUCAGAGAGGACUAUGAUGAGCGUGUGCUGCCAUCCAUCACGACCGAGAUCCUCAAGUCAGUGGUGGCUCGCUUUGAUGCUGGAGAACUAAUCACCUCCCUGCCGGCGGGUCAGUCCGUGCUCCUCCAGCUGCCCCAGUGAGGGCCCACCCUGCCUGCACCUCCGCGGGCUGACUGGGCCACAGCCCCGAUGAUUCUUAACACAGCCUUCCUUCUGCCCCCACCCCAGAAAUAACUGUGAAAUUUCAUGAUUGGCUUACAGUGAAGGAAAUAAAGGUAAAAUCACUUCAGAUCUCU
RNA transcript from Mandrillus leucophaeus (drill), 660 nucleotides. It is a transcript of the gene named prohibitin-like, with no coding region annotated. The record is from RefSeq and is a predicted model, not a curated record. The transcript is spliced from 2 exons. Lineage: Eukaryota; Metazoa; Chordata; Mammalia; Primates; Cercopithecidae.